Molecule: long non-coding RNA, 10914 nt
Organism: Apis cerana (Asiatic honeybee)
Lineage: Eukaryota; Metazoa; Arthropoda; Insecta; Hymenoptera; Apidae
Source: RefSeq, a predicted model, not a curated record
UCGCCAUCUCAUAUUUCGUAAUGCGUAAUAUUAUCAUGGCGCGUGACGAUGUAAAAAUUCCGAUAGAUAAACAUCGACUAACAAAGCGGUGGACGUGACCAUGCAUUAAACGGAAACCGAGGAUCAUCGCCGUGAGGAUCGAAAUCACAAACGACCGCUUGUAAAUUACUUUUUUUUUUUUUUCAUCCGGUGAUAAUGAAGGAAAAAACGGUUGAGAAUAAAAACCCAGAUUUCCUCGGGGUGUUAACCGGUGCAUACACCUUACCACUGUCACUUUCUGACCGAACGACCGACUUUCCAUCCUCGUCGCUUCUUCUUCCUUCCGAUCGGCCAAUCUGUUUCGAUCUUUAACGCUGUUCUUCCGUAGGAGCCCUGUACAGGCCUGUCCGCAGCGUGAAAGCGCAGUGGAACGACCGCGAAUCGUGCAUGCGCGGCCACCCACUGCGCAUGCGUCACCCGUCCGUCUUAUAUCUAUAAGGGUAGGUACCCUCGGCGAGGCCAGUCAGUUCUUGCCCGUUUUCGCUCGGGUGACGAUCGAUCGGUGGCCAUCUCUCCGUGACCUUGUUUCCGCGCAUCCCUUCGCGACACGAUUUCCGGAGAGAUAAACGAUCGCCGUGAGAGAAAACCGGCUCUGUACGGGGUUAAAUAGAACGGACGGUUCGUGAUUGCUUCUUUUUUUCUUUUUUGUGAAGUGCAGUUUACCCGUUGUGUUUCGCGCCAAUCCAUUGUUAAAGGGUAAAAAGUGUCACUACGGAGAAGCGGAUUCUGGCUUUUUCUUUUCUUCUCUUGGUUUUGAUGAGGAUGAACGAUUCAGCGAUCUCCGUUGGAAUUUUAUAUCGCAUAUACGGCUUCUUAGACAAACGGCGUUUUUCUAUCUGAAUCUGGCGAACCAGCUCAGGUGGACAUCACUUACGGUCUCUUGGGGGUUUCGCUAUCUAUCAAAACGUACCCCUCUCCAUCCACAAGGACGAUCAGCCUGUUAUCCUGUCCACGAGUCGUGAACCACGAUACCAGAGUGCUCCGGAGCAGCGUCUGGAGACUUUUCGGAGCGCGUGGCCGCCCUUUUACACUCCUCCUCCACCCAAGACGACUGCUAGUCUUCGUCGAGAUUCCUCCAAGUUGUUCCACCACCCUCCAACAAGUGAAGAGACCGAAAAUGGGGACGCCAAACAACGCGAUCGCACAACUCGAUAUCGAUCCUGUGAUCAACGCCCCAAAGCCUUAUACAGGCUUUGAAAUUAAGCGUUAACGCUUCAACAUUUGUUUCCACGUGUUAAUCGCACGGAACUUGGAAACAGUUUAUCGAUCCGAGAAUCGAUGGUAAAUUUCCUCUCUUCGUUUCGAGCGAAAUCGGGAGAAAAGUAAAAUUGUAUAAUAUAAUCGAGUGAGUGUUUUCUUUCUUUCUUUCGUUCUCUGAUUAUAUCCUUUGUUCGUCGCGGAAAGUGGACGCUGCAAACGUGAACGAGAGACAAUGGUGUUUGGAGACCUUGUCGAGAUUGAACGAUCAAUAAUAUUAUUUCGAUUAGUAUUUAAUAUUGUCGAUCGUGUGUAGCUUGGAGAAGAUUAAAAGUGAGAUUGUAUAUGAAAAUAUUAUUGUUCGCAUUUUUCAAACGAUAUUAUCGCUGAUGUUAUUUAUAACUCUCCUUUCGCGGAAUACAAUUAAUUCGAGCCUUCCGUCUUUGAUAUCUCUUUUUUUUCUUUAAUUAAACGGAGGGUACGAGCUGCGUGGCACGGAUGAUUGGAUCAAAGGUGACCCCCAUGAGGAUAGAAAUUAUUUAAUCUUUUAAGUAGCAUUGAGUUAUCGAUGAUUCCCAAGUAAACCGGGUUGAAAAUGAUCCAAACAUCGGACUGAGAGCAAAUGUGUAAAUAUGUUUACAUUUUCUGAGCCAAAGGAAUCGAAUCCCGCAAUGACGAGGAAAAUUCCUUUGGUUGAUUGAGCGAAGAAAACAUGUUUUCUUGAAAAUGAUAAAAUUUCUUUGACGUUAUGUCACGGAAUUUCCAUCAAAUGCGUAUAUUUUCCCAUUUUAUAAAUUUUAUCCUUUAAAGAUAAUAAUAAUAAUCCUCGACGGAGAAUCGGCAAAGGGAUUCACAAACUCGUCUCUUAAUAAUGGUUAUUCCAGCUAUUAAAAAUCCGAGUUUUUUUCCAAGUGUCACAAAUUAAUUUUCCUGAUCAUUUUAUAAAUUUGAUAAAUUUAUGAUAUAUUACUCUAUUUUAUACUUUUUAAAAAGUGUAACCCCAAUAACGAUACAACUAAAAAAAAUCUCAAAACCCAGCUUUGGAAAAAUUAAACAAACAAAAAAUCACAAUCCUCGAAAAUUCACUGGUCAGAAAAUAAAUUUUCCUCUCGUUAUACGAAAGAUUGGAUAAAAAAUUGGAUAGAAAAUAUUCGCACACUUUUGCUUCUUUCUUUUUUUCUUCUUCUUCUCCUCCUACUUCUUCUUCUUUUUUCCAUUCCAUCCUGCGAUCGCGUCCAAUAGAAAAAAGGAUAAAAGGAAAAGAGCAGGCACGUGGUGGUUGCAGCAAAGCGACCAGUAGGAUCACUAGACGUGCAUGGAAAAAGGGAAGUGGAAAUUUUUUUUUUAGACAGAGAGAACGACGGAUAAAACAGUAACGAUCUUGGCAACCUGGAAGUACCUGUGAAGUUUCCAGAGAGAAACUCGAGCAAAUGAGUGGCACGUAGAUAAGCUCGAAAAGCUGUCGCACUCGAGGGCGAAAGAAAGCAACGGAAAUAAAACUGAGUGGAGGGGAAAAAAAGUUGGUGGGGAAAAAUGAGAAAAAUAACUGGUAUAACUUAGAGGAUAUAACCCUUGGCAGAAAGUAUUCGAUUCUUUAAAAUAUAUAUUUAUGUAUAUUUUUUAUAUCUUUCCAUUAUAAUCCAUUUGUAGUUCGUUUCCUCGUCGAUCGAUUUCGAUGAAAUUUUCAAACAGGAAAUAUUUAAAUAUCUUUAUUAACGAAAGUUGCAUAACAUGGCGAUAAUAAUUCUUUUUUUGUACAAAAUUUUAAAGUUCUCCAUCUUCUUUAAACGUAAUCAUAUAUUUCUUUUUUCACUGAUUGAUUCAGCUCUAUAUAAAAUUAUUAGUUUAGAAGAUAUUUUAACUUCAAAUUAGUAAAGCUUAUUUAAUGUAUAAAGGAACACAUAAAGUAUAUUUAUUAUUCGUGCUCUCCUUACAGAAGAAACAUCGUAUUUCCUUUUAUAUCACAGACUUUUGUUAAUAAAACUCAUGAAAUAUAACGAAGAUAUUUAAUCCAUUAAUUUUCCAUUUCAACGCGCCAUCUUGUAAAAUUAGCUCGAUCUUCGUUGUUUUCUUCGUCCUUUCCUCCUCCCCCUCAAAAAAAAAAAUUGAAAAGUCAUUUGGCCCAAUUUUAAAAAAAUUUAUUCUAUCUUAAAAACUGUACUACUUUUUGCCAAGAAUUGUAGAACUCGACACCGUUGAGAAAUGAAAGGUUUUCGAAAUUGGGGUGGUUCGAUCGUGAUCGAACCGUUUUACGAUGAUUCGAAUUGGACGUGGAUGAAUCAAGUAAACUUCGAACUUCAAUUGGUAUUGCAUGAAAAAUUGAUUGGAAAGCUAUUAUCAGUUUUAUGAAGUUUCGUCUGGAUGGUUUCACGAAGCGAGAAUUUCGCCCGGAUAUACAUAUAUACAUAUAUAUAUAUAUACAUAUGUAGGAGCAACGCUCAUAGAGGUUUAUGAAAACCGCCGGCAGGCACGGUGAUUCGUCAUAAUUAAUCAUAUUCCAGUCAAGCCGUGUCGUUUUAUUGCUCGUAUUUAUCGCGCGACAUCUGCCCUUUAACAGGUUUCGAAUUUCCAUUCGAAAAUGGGGAGGAAUGGCGAGCGGGUGGGUGAGGGGGAAAAAGGGGUUGCAAAAAUCAACAGGCGUGGCGCAUUUAAUUGUGCGAAUUAAUCUUUACGUUUCACCGAGCGACCCAUUCCAUUCUUCUCAUUUCCAGUUCAUUUCACUACCAGAAACACCCAACUUUCCAUUCAAACUUUACAAUACUUCAUCCUCCCUGCUUGAUGACUUUUAUAAAGUCCAUUUGUUUAUCCCAUCAAUGAAUGUUAUUCGAAUAAAACACGUUACGGAGAUAAUGAUUAUAAAUUCGUUAACAUUUUUCCAAUUAUUUCUUUAAAAGAAUCAGAAUCAUAUGAUCGAAUUUUUCGAAAAAUCAUUUUUUUAAAAAAAUGUAUCCUUUAUUUUCGAUUAGUAGAAUUUUAUCCCAAUCCAAAUUUAUUUUCUCGUAUUUGAUCUGAAAAAAGAGUGCUAUUCGUCAAUCGGGAGAGGAGAAAUCGUCGUCUCGCGAGGGACUUUUGUCUUUCCUGGCCUUUCAAUGUUUCACGAGGGAACAGAAAACAAAGCGGUUUUCAUUAUUGUGCCCACUUCCGUCUUGUAUUAUUCAAGUUGCAUCAACGUAUAAAUUAUUCCCUUCUUUAUCCCUGUCCCAAUGCUGGUAAAUAUCGUAACGUAACCCUUCGAUGCCUCUUUCGAAUUUUUAACCCCAUCGACGAAACGAAUACGUCCAUUGGACGUUUGGAAAUCAUUCUUUUUUAAACCUUGCAAAUAUCGUUUCUUAUUUAUAUUCAAAUUUGAUCAAGCUUGUCUGUUGAAUUUUUUGAAUGAAAUUCCACUGUUGUGAAUAAUCACGAAAUAGGUAAAUUAUAAGCUUCCAUCUAUCUAUCUAAUUUGAACUAUCUAAUUUUUACAAGUCGUAAUUUUCGUUUCACUUAAUUGUCAACUGGUAAAUAAAGAUAAGAAUAACGAAAAAAAGUCUCUCUCUCUCUCUCUCUUUUUAAUUUAAGAGAAAAGGAGUAAAUACCACGUGAAAGUAGUUUAUUUUGGAGGGCAGUUAUUAUUACGCUUUCUAAGUAUUUUCGAAAGUAUUGUUCCACAAUGGAAAAGAGCCAGAGCCUGUUAUCUUGAAUCAAGACGAAACAUGGAGUACAUUUCGCGAAAGACAAAUGAACCUUCUUCCCCAGCGGCCACGGGCCAAGCGCCAAACUAGAGUCCAACUCUCCUGUCCUUGAUUCCCUCUUUUCUUUAAUUCUACCACCCUCUUUUUCUUCCUCAACCGUGGCCCCCUUUCCUCCCUCCAUCUUAUCUCUGCCGUAUUUCUUUUCAUCUUUGCUUUUAGCCGCUUUUUCCCUUUAUUUUCGACCCAGUUAUCCCGUUUUAACGACCGCGUAUCUUUAAUUUGUCGUCCUAAUAUCUCCAUUUUUCUCUCAGUUUUUAACGUAAUUUCGCGCAAUAUAAUAAAAAUGUAUCCCAUAGCAUGAGAAAUCUGUUCUCUCUCUCUCUCUCUCUCUAUCUCCCUCUCUCGUUUCCUCUGGGAAAAUAAAUCUACAGUCGGAUGGUAAAUCCUGUAAAAUUGUAGAUGGUAAUCCCAUAUGUCAGGAUUACGAAUAUCCAUGAAAUUGAGAAAUGAGUUGACCGAACAUCACUUCACAAAUAUUCUUAACAGUGAAACGAUUUGUAACUGUAAUACGAUAUUUUUAAAAAAAAAAAGCUUCGCGAACUUUUUAAAAAGUAAAUCUAUCAAAAUUAUCGUGAGUUAAUUUUAAAUUAAAAUUAUUCAACUUGUUGAAAUUCGAAUCGAUAUCUGAAUAUCUUUCCCUUCUUUUUAAAAAUCGCGCGUCUAUUUGGCUGCCAUUUUGUUUUAUAAUCGUUCUUGCGUGCAAUUCAAUUAAACCGAGAGAGAACAUCGCGUACAAAAGAUCCUGUUUUUCUUUUGUCCCCUUUCAUUGAUCAGUUUUUUCUAAUACCUUUUCUCCAUAGCUUUAUUACACGAUAAUUUUUCUUUUAUCUUAUACAGUGCAAUAUAUAAUCCAUAAAAUAAAACCAAACGCAAAGGUUACGUCGAAUAACGUUCUAUCGUUCCUUUUUACAAUGGAAAGAUAAAACGAAGAAUACGUGCACAAUAUAAUAUAACGUGCUAGCGAGAAAAACUUACACAAACUUAAAAUUGUAUUUACGUUCAAUUCUCCUUCCUCCUGAAAUUUUCCAUUUCGAUCAUUCACACACCAAAUAACUCUGAACAAUACGAAAUUUUUCUCUGUCAACCGCGAUAAAAAAUAAUUAUAAAAAAUUUAUCACACGUCCAAAAAUCAUUAUAAAUUAUAAAUUAUUAUUAUUCCUCUCGUUUCGUCGCGACGAUAAACACGAAGAAGCAGGUUAAAAGACUUAACUUCUGGAUAAAAAUUGUCGAAGCGUAUUUUUCGAACACGACUCUCGAUGCUCGCGAGGAAAGAGUUUCCAAGAUUUACUCGUUUCACACAAUUCACGCGUACGUCAGGAAUAUUUAUUACAAUGGGACCGAGAUUGCUUUAUCCUGGCAGGUGGCGCGCAAGUGCAUGCAUCAUACGAACAGACACACACGCGGGUGUACAUUCGUAGGGAUCGUGUGUGUAACCGACGCACUUAAUCGUACGUAAAUACACAACGCAUCGCGUUGAUACAACCACGAGAUUGCGUGAGCGUUACUGAUCGAUCGUUCCUUUCGAUUAACAGCCUUCGACGAAUCUUUCGAGAUAAAGUUUCAGCAAAGCUGAAUUGAUAUUUCGCUUGAGAUUAGAUUAAAACUUUCGUGCGUUAUCGCUCGACAUUCGAAAUGCGAUACUCAAGUCGUGUGUCAAGUGACUUUAUGAUGUUAAUUAGAGGAGAAGCAUUAUGUAGGGUGUCUUAUUUUAAUCUAUCCGAGUAAUUAUCUUUUAAAUUAUUAAAAGAAAAAUUUCGAAACGUUGAAAGUAACACUGUUGCAAAUUCUUAAUAAUCGGAAAAUAGAAUUUUAAUAGCCAAUCGUGUAUCGCGAUUCUUUAAAUAAAUACAUGUAAUGAGAAAAUUUGAAGUAAUUACGUGAAUAAUAACCUGCUUCGAAUUUAAUUGAAAUUUCUCUAAUAAUGAUUGUCAACAGUUGCAAUAGUUAUAGAUAAAAUUGUUGUUAUCUUUUAAUAAAAUAUAUCCAUUCUAUAGAAUAUUUUUCAUUGAUACUAAAGCAACAGACGCAUUGAUUGAUUACUCAUUGAAUAAAUUUUAUUAUCGGUUAACAAUUUAUAAUUUCCUCAUUCAAACGAGUAAUGCGAAUAGAAUAAACUCGGGUUGUUAAUACUAUUGACGUGAUCAAUUACGAUAUAAAAAAAUCUCAAAAAAUCACUUUUACACAGCCAAUUUACACAGAGUACUUUUUCUUUUGUUUUCACUUUUGUAACAAGAUAGAGAAAGUUUCAUAAAAAAAAGAAUAAAGAUAGAUAUAAAACCGAUUUAACAACGAUUCUUUAGAAACGUAAUCGAUAUAGAAUCCCUUUAAUCCAACUAUUAUAAGAUCAUUAUAGUUAUAGUUCUUCCUAUUCAACUAUUCCGUUAAACUCUAUCUUUCACGAUUAUUCCCGAAAAAAGAUCAAGAACGAUUAAUUGCAAAGAAAAAAAGAAAUCAUAUUCCAGAAUUCAGAGGCUGAUGCGUAACAACAGUUUCGAAACAAUUAUUCUCGCUUAGCGUUGGAGGGGACGUUAUAACAAAAAUUUUCAACGACAGAGUCGCUCAGUUCACGAGGAAACAAGUUUCGCUCGUGGAGACCAGCUGUUGUGCUUUCUUAUAUACACCUUCCUACUUCCAAAUACCAUCCAAUAGCUCGUACUUUCUUCCUCGAAUUGGCAAGCCAGCCGAGCGCAGCUGGGUUAAGGAUCAGAAGGAUCUGAUUAAAUUGCUCCUAUAAGAUGCAUCCGCAGGUGCGACGCCGGGGCUGGAUGCUUCACCAGGGAAAUGCAUAUUCUGAAAUGGACGAUUUUUUACGGCAGCUUAGCCCCCUCGAACGAGAAAUUGCAUUUUUCAAAUUCUCCUCCAACGAGAGAGAGAGAGAGAGAGGGAGCUCGAAAAUUAAUUGGCCAACUCGUGCGGAACCAUUUGCUCGUUAAAUAAUGCGCCUCUUUGCCCGGUCGCGCGGAUAACUCGUGUCGCAAUUCCGCACGAGGGAAGGGGAGGGAAGGGACGUAAUUAUUUACCGGCCAACGAAUCAAUAUUUGCAAAUUGCGCGUCUUUCGAGUGCUCAGAAUUCUUGUCCUAAUCUCCGGUCAAAUUUUAUUCCUCGUUUUUAAUCGCUUUGCAACGAUGACGACUUUCGAUUUAGGAUUCUUUAUUUAGGAAAGUUCAUAUUCUAAUUUUUAUGUGGAAUUAUAUAUAUUUGGAGCGAGUUGAUUCCAGCCGUUGAAGUAUAAAAGUUGAUACAUAAAAACGUCGGUUGGGGUUUAUUUAUUAAGUUAUAAAUAAUUGAAGUUUAAACGAGAUGGAAAGAGAAGUGAGAAGACUGCUUUGUCUUCGUUACGCUGCCGUCACAUUCUAUUCUCGCGGCGGUUUAUCCAAUGUAAACUUAAACUGUUUGUAACUUAAUAAAUGAGUACCACAACCACUUUUGCACGCCAAGUUUUAUGGAAUCGAUUCUUCAAAGUAUGUUCCACGAAUAUAUUCACGCUAAUAUAACUGUUGUGUAUGCUGAAGAAAGUAAAUUAAUUCUUCGAAUUUUUUAAAUUUUUAAAAUCGAUGUUUGACUAGACGAGUUGAUUAAAGUUACUUUUCUUUUAACUUUUUCGAAAAAUUCGAUCGGAGAAAUCUUACUUUUGACGAGAUAAUCGAGUGUACAUAUCGAGUCGUAUAUUUAUUAUAAAAGUUUAUUGUGAUACAAGUUUAAUCAGCAGGGAAAAAUGCGAUCGUUGGAAUCACUGAUUAAUGCGAGAGAAAACAAAAAUUUUAUUAUCGAACGAUUACUUAUUCAAAAUUAAACCAAGAAUGAAUUCUACGAAACUGUGUUUUUUCAACGAAAAAUACUUGCCGGUAUAAAAUCCAAGAUAAUCUGAGAAAUUCAGAUCAUUUAAAAAUAUUCGCUCGACCUCCCCUAUAUUUAAAUGUAUAAUUUCGCAUUAUAUAUUCAAAAUGAAAUAUCGUCAGCUCGUACCCGAUCUAAAAGAAAACUUCUAUUUUGUUAACAUGUCUAUCGACAGUCCUCGAAAAGUAUACUGUGAAAGUGCAUAACGAGAGAGAGCCGGCCGAAUCGAGUAGAAUAUUUAAAAGAAACUCAUUGAUAUUUGACACGGUCAGGGUGGAUAAUCGAAUUAAUUCGGUCGGCGUUUUCGUCUCUCAGAUUUAUCCAAUUAAUUAUAUAUUCGGUAAAUUUAUAGAAACGCGGAAAAUAUCCUCGAUGGAAAAGAGAUCGACUAAAGAUUGCACUCUAGGGUGAAACGAAAUAGAGCCGCAAUUUUUCUUUUCCGAUUUUUAAAUGGACAAAAAUAAAUAAUCCUCCCCAAUAUUUAAUUUUCGAGUUUUGGUUAAGCUGGAAAAUAUUAAGAAUUUCGAUAGUUUACGAUAAAUUAUUCGUCGUUGUCGGGGAAAAAUACUCUUUUACGGAGAGUGAUUUUAAAAUAAAUUUCGAAGUAAAGUAAAAAUCUAUUGCUUAAAGAAAAUUUUUUAUUCAUAAUAACAAGAUUAAAAAAUAUGUUUGAAAAAAAGGACAAUAUUAUAAAAUUCUUAAAUAUCCUCUUCCGUUGUUAUUUUAUAUUUAUUAUCAUAUCAUAGUUAUUUUUUGAAAUUUCCAAUUUUUCGUUCCACCCUAUUGUCAAGUGUAUACAUAUACAUUAUCGUGUACACGUCCGUAUAACGGAUGUAUGCACACAUACGUAGCUCGAUAAAAACGAUAAAAUUUGAACGAAAAAGUAUUAUAAAUAUAGAUAUAUAUAUAUAUUAUAAAUAAGUUAUUAAGAUAACUAUUAUAAGUUAACUAUCCGUUGAUACAUAUCGCACUUUAAAAACCGGUAGAAAUAAAAAAAAAGAAAAAAGAAAGUGUCGACGGAAAUCGAAAAAUCGCUUCGAGAGAGAGAGAGAUCGAAAACAUUUCGUGGCAAAACGAAAAAGAAACUACGAUGGUAUGUAUUUUAUGUAAAACGAAAUCCUUAAUCCUUAAGGUCCCGAGUAGAAUGAUAAAAAUGAUACUUAAAGUUCUCUAAUAAUUUAAUUAAUUUAAUAAUUAAUUUAAUAAAAUAUUUUGAUAUCGAGCUUACAAUUAGCGUGCUCCAAUCUUAAAAAAAAUUUAUGAAAAUCUCUAUAAAAUCUACGAAAUUUACAAAAUACUAGAUUAUAGAACAAUUCGCAGGGAAGAAUUCCUUCGUUCAUAUAUUUUCGUUGCGAAAUUGAUUCAUACAUCAAGUUCCAACGAAGAAGAAUCGAAUUGAAUUACACAUCUUGAUCCAAGGUUUUUCAAUCGAAUUAAUUUGCCGGGAUUGAAACUGACUCGGGGCCCUAAGCAUUGUAUCAAUUGUACGUCCAUUGUAAUAAUAUCGCUGUUUGAAAAAUAUCGGCAAUAUCGAGAACGAGAUUAAUUGAUUAACCGAGAAAAAGAGAGAGAAAAAAACUCGAUUCCCCUCUCAACUUAGAUAGAUGAAUGUAAAAAUUUAAGCGACGAGAGAUUUGGUUCGACGCAGCUCUCGUUCCAAUCGAUCGCAAUCACUGCCACGAAUACGAAACACGACAACUCGGGGUCAUCUUUUGUAAAUUUAAUACCGGUGAAACGAAAAUCCUUUCGAUCUUCUUUCCCGCGAGCUGUUUCACGACCGAUCCAAAUCGACGGGAACUUUCAUAAAGGUUUCAACGAGAAAGAUAUUCGAAUAAAAAUCCGUUUAUUCCCCCUUUUCGAUUGUACAGAGAGAGAGAGCGCAUCGAAUAAUGAUAAAAAAUAUGAGAGAGAGAGAAGAAAUAUCGCGUGCGUGAAUUUAUGUUUAUUUAUGCGAGAAUGAGGAGAUAUAUAUAUAUAUAUGCAUGUACGAGAGAGAAAGAAAAAUCGAAUGGAUGACUUGUGAUUUGUAAAAUGGAGACAUCACGAAUCCACAUCACGAAGUCUUGCGACACAACGAACGUAUAAUAAAAAGAAGUUCUUCGUUUUCUA